This 366-nucleotide small RNA is filed under the name Ovis aries (sheep). RNAcentral's name for it is "sRNA (ENSOARG00000023098.1)". Lineage: Eukaryota; Metazoa; Chordata; Mammalia; Artiodactyla; Bovidae. The record is from RNAcentral.
CCUACUGUUUAAACUUUAAGAUGAUCCCUAACUGGCUUAAAGUCCUCAACCCACAGCGGAGGAAAACGUUGCAGAAAAAAAAAAAAAAAGAAAAACAAGGUCAUGCUGCAUUUUUUUGGUAAGCACAGGAAUCAACAUAGAGAUGUUAUGUAACUUCUAUUUAUAUCCUCCUUGCUCACUAUCUGCAGGCAGACAAGAGUCGCUGAGAAGGGAUUUAAUGAGCUCUCUGGGUUUGCUCACCUUCCUGAGCUGGUAGGAACCAGCUUGUUCUCAAGUGCGUCAGCAAAGAAUCUGCCUGUGGGUGGGCGGCCGGGGUAGGUGGACAGACUUGUUGCCAUGGUGUUCUUUAAUUCCCCUGUCUCUCAG